UUUUCGUAAGUGAACCUGCGGAAGGAUCAUUGUAGAGUUUCUUUUCAAACAGAUGUGAAGUUGUACCGAUACCCAUCGAGAACAAAUCGUUUUUAUUGUUAGCAUUUGCGUUUUUUAGAUGGGUUCCCUUUGCUGCCUUCAUCUUCGCUUCAUUUGAAGUGAGAAGUAGAGUAGAAAUAAAAGACCACACGGUUUGUGCCAAAGAUAGUUGUUGUCGGAGUACAUUGCCAUCUUUUUGAUGUCUUUGUGUUACUCUACGAGCAUAUAAUGACUCCUGGCAAUGGAUAUCUUGGCUCUC
Molecule: unclassified non-coding RNA, 298 nt
Filed under: root metagenome
Description: partial contains small subunit ribosomal RNA, internal transcribed spacer 1, and 5.8S ribosomal RNA
Source: RNAcentral